UACGUAGGGGGCAAGCGUUGUCCGGAAUUAUUGGGCGUAAAGAGCGCGUAGGCGGUCCGAUAAGUCGGCUGUGAAAGCCCACGGCUCAACCGUGGAGGGUCAUUGGAAACUGGGGGACUUGAGUGCAGGAGAGAAGAGUGGAAUUCCACGUGUAGCGGUGAAAUGCGUAGAGAUGUGGAGGAACACCGGUGGCGAAGGCGGCCUGCUGGGCAGUUGCUGACACUGAGGCGCGACAGCGUGGGGAGCAAACAGG
This 253-nucleotide ribosomal RNA is filed under the name uncultured bacterium. RNAcentral's name for it is "partial 16S ribosomal RNA". It matches the Rfam family "Bacterial small subunit ribosomal RNA", at positions 524 to 776 of the family's 1533-position model. The record is from RNAcentral.